GACCAUAUGCGUGUAGUGAUAACAAACUAACCUCGUAGCAAAUACCACAUAGCAAAUAAGCCUAGACCAUACGCGUGUAGUGAUAAGAUUAGCGCGGAGUAACAAGUUGUAAAUAUUUUAACUUGUGCAAAAUAUCAUAAACCAAAACAUGUUUACGACAUGUGUAUGUUUUUGGUGUGUAAGCAUAAGAAAAAUAAGUGAUGUAAUGUGUUUAUGAAGGAGACUUAGCACAAUAUAUAAAGAGGCAUUGGGUUGGACUGAGGUGAAGCGAGUUCACUGUCGGGAGGACAUCAUCGCCGGUGUUACCGACGCCCCGACAGUUUUGUUGCCGACCACUCGCUGGUUCUCAGUCUCAACUUCUGCGGUGACCUCUCUGUCUAGAUUGUGAGGCGACGUCUCCUUCUCCGUGACAACUUCAGCGGACCGUGACCGGGCCACGAUAGUGGUGCAGACCUCGUCCCAAUAUAGAUCAAGGAAGCUCUAGAGUCAGCUUUCUCGGAGGGAUCAUUUCAUCCCACUCCUAACUCAUGCUCCUUACCGAGUCUCUACUGAAUAUUGUGACUUAGCCAGAAGAACACUUCCCUCUGGCUGGUUGGAACUCCAAUGACCUCUAGCCUUGUAGGAGUCUUGGCAACCAUCUGGUUCCAUUGCCUUGACUCUUUGUCAGAACCUGGAGCAUUUUCUAAGACACACACUGCUACCUAUGGACCAAGGACUCAAGAGGACUCCAGUGUGUAUUUCCAAGAGUUUGAUUUCUACUUGACUUACUUCUCUCUUGAACCCAUCACCUUUUCAUCACUCCAGCCUUCCUGAAUCCCAAUCUCUCUUUCCUCACAGCAGGGAGACUUCCAUCUUUUCCUUGGAAUCUCCUCCCUACGCGCACCAUCCAGAACUAUUCCAGGUGAAAAUUCGAGUGAAUCCUGGGGCUCAGUUUUUGUUUGUUUGUUUGCUUGCUUGCUUUCCUUUUCACAUGGUUUUCAAAUGUCGUUCGUUUUCAAUGUUUUAAAGAGUAAUUUAUGUAGAUAUAGAUAUAGACAUAUCUAUAUAUAUAGAUAGAUUUUUUUUCUCUUUUCCAAUUCCUCAUGGGCUUCUGAUUGGUUACUUUUCCUCUAACAGGGUUGUAUUAGCUUUCUAGGGGUGCUAUUACAAGAUACCACAAGCCUAGAGGAUGAAACAACAGAAGUAGACAGUAUCACAGUUCUAGAGGCUACAGUGCUCAUAGACCAUGCUCCUUUUGGAGGUAUUAUGGGAGGAUCUCUUCCAGGCCACUUUCCCAGAUUGAUGCAUUUGGACUUUGGACUUCUUCACAUGGCCCUCUCCGUCAGUGCAUAUCUGUCUAUCCACAGUCUCCCUUAGAAGGACACAAGUCCUCCUGAAUUAGGGGCCCAGGCUAUUCAAAUAUGAUCUCAUCCACGCUAGUUACAUCUCCAGGGACCCUAUUUU
Molecule: long non-coding RNA, 1443 nt
Organism: Mustela erminea (ermine)
Lineage: Eukaryota; Metazoa; Chordata; Mammalia; Carnivora; Mustelidae
Exons: 2
Source: RefSeq, a predicted model, not a curated record